Molecule: ribosomal RNA, 259 nt
Filed under: uncultured Glomus
Lineage: Eukaryota; Fungi; Glomeromycota; Glomeromycetes; Glomerales; Glomeraceae
Description: partial 18S ribosomal RNA
Rfam family: Eukaryotic small subunit ribosomal RNA
Source: RNAcentral
AAGCUCGUAGUUGAAUUUCGGGGUCAGUAGGUUGGUCGUGCCACCGGUACGUACUGGUCUCACUGAUUCCUCCUUCCUGAUGAGCUGUAAUGCCAUUAAUUUGGUGUUGCAGGGAAUCUGGACUGUUACUUCGAAAAAAUUAGAGUGUUUAAAGCAGGCUAACGCUUGAAUACAUUAGCAUGGAAUAAUGAAAUAGGACGUUCGAUCCUAUUUUGUUGGUUUCUUAGGAUUGACGUAAUGAUUAAUAGGGAUAGUUGGG